UACGUAGGGUGCGAGCGUUAAUCGGAAUUACUGGGCGUAAAGCGUGCGCAGGCGGUUUUGUAAGACAGAGGUGAAAUCCCCGGGCUUAGCCUGGGAACUGCCUUUGUGACUGCAAGGCUUGAGUGCGGCAGAGGGGGAUGGAAUUCCGCGUGUAGCAGUGAAAUGCGUAGAUAUGCGGAGGAACACCGAUGGCGAAGGCAAUCCCCUGGGCCUGCACUGACGCUCAUGCACGAAAGCGUGGGGAGCGAACAGG
RNAcentral lists this ribosomal RNA (253 nucleotides) under uncultured bacterium. RNAcentral's name for it is "partial 16S ribosomal RNA". It matches the Rfam family "Bacterial small subunit ribosomal RNA", at positions 524 to 776 of the family's 1533-position model. The record is from RNAcentral.